AGGAGUGGAGCCUGCGGCUUAAUUUGACUCAACACGGGAAACCUCACCAGGCCCGGACACCGGAAGGAUUGACAGAUUGAGAGCUCUUUCUUGAUUCGGUGGGUGGUGGUGCAUGGCCGUUCUUAGUUGGUGGAGCGAUUUGUCUGGUUAAUUCCGAUAACGAACGAGACUCUAGCCUGUUAACUAGGCGUAUUUUCGACAUCUCAAAGGCCCGCCGGUCCGCGAGCCGUCGUGAUCGUGCGCGGUUUUUACUGUCGGCGUACAAUAUAAUCUUCUUAGAGGGACAGGCGGCUUCUAGCCGCACGAGAUUGAGCAAUAACAGGUCUGUGAUGCCCUUAGAUGUUCUGGGCCG
Molecule: ribosomal RNA, 352 nt
Filed under: Phaeochroops acuticollis
Lineage: Eukaryota; Metazoa; Arthropoda; Insecta; Coleoptera; Hybosoridae
Also listed under: 1 other name
Description: SSU rRNA
Rfam family: Eukaryotic small subunit ribosomal RNA
Source: RNAcentral